RNAcentral lists this signal recognition particle RNA (298 nucleotides) under Saimiri boliviensis boliviensis (Bolivian squirrel monkey). RNAcentral's name for it is "Metazoan signal recognition particle RNA (ENSSBOG00000009485.1)". It matches the Rfam family "Metazoan signal recognition particle RNA". From Rfam's summary of the family: The signal recognition particle (SRP) is a universally conserved ribonucleoprotein. The record is from RNAcentral. Lineage: Eukaryota; Metazoa; Chordata; Mammalia; Primates; Cebidae.
GCCGGGCACGGUGGUGCAUGCCUGUAGUCCCAGCUACUUGGGAGGCUGAGGUGGGAGGAUUGCUUGAGCCCAGGAGUUCUGGGCUGUAGUGCACUAUGCCAAUUCGGUGUUCGCACUAAGUUCGGCAUCAAUAUGGUACCUCCCGGGAGUGGGGAACCACCAGGUUUCCUAAGGAGGGGUAAACCAGCCCAGGUCAGAAACGGAGCAGGUCAAAACUCCCGUGCUGAUCAGUAGUGGGAUCGCACCUGUGAAUAGCCACUGCACUCCAGCCUGGGCAACAUAGCAAGACCUCGUCUCA